Eurytemora carolleeae is the source of this 533-nucleotide long non-coding RNA. RefSeq lists it as uncharacterized. Lineage: Eukaryota; Metazoa; Arthropoda; Copepoda; Calanoida; Temoridae. The record is from RefSeq and is a predicted model, not a curated record. The transcript is spliced from 3 exons.
CGGACUAUUGGCCUGUACACUCUCAAGGUUAGGUUAGCACCAGAUUCGGACUAUUGGCCUGUACACUCUCAAGGUUAGGUUAGCCACAGAUUCGGACUAUUGGCCUGUACACUCUCAAGGUUAGGAUAGCACCAGAUUCGGACUAUUGGCCUGUACACUCUCAAGGUUAGGAUAGCACCAGAUUCGGACUAUUGGCCUGUACACUCUCAAGGUUAGGAUAGCACCAGAUUCGGACUAUUGGCCUGUACACUCUCAAGGUUAGGUUAGCACCAGAUUCGGACUAUUGGCCUGUACACUCUCAAGGUUAGGAUAGCACCAGAUUCGGACUAUUGGCCUGUACACUCUCAAGGUUAGGUUAGCACCAGAUUCGGACUAUUGGCCUGUACACUCUCAAGGUUAGGAUAGCACCAGAUUCGGACUAUUGGCCUGUACACUCUCAAGAAGAAAACAGCAGCAGUUUGGGGGAUGGAUUCAAAAAUAUAAAGAAAUAUGGCAAAGUGCAUUUAGAGAAGAAUACAGUCCUGGGGCAUUAU